GACGAAGUGCUGUCUUGUAAGUUUACAGAGGUCGAAAGUACUGGUACUGCUUGCGCAGCGUCAUAGGAGUCGCUUUGAUCUUGAUGUCGCUCUCCUUCAUUGUAGCAAAUCCCCAGCGUGGAUUGUUCACCCAUGCAGGGACGUGAGCUGGGUUAGACGUCGUGGACAGGUUAGUUUACCCUACUAAUGACAAAACGUGUGCGACAGCAUCCUGCGUAGUACGAGAGGAACCGCAGGUACGGACCAAUGGCACAUACUUGUUCGAGCGAACAGUGGUAUGACGCUACGUCCGUUGGAUUAUGCCUGAACGCCUCUAAGGUCGUAUCCGUGCUGGACUGCAAUGAUAAAUAAGGGGCAAUUUGCAUUGUAUGGCUUCUAAACCAUUUAAAGUUUAUAAUUUAUUUUAUAAACGACAAUGGAUGUGAUGCCAAUGUAAUUUGUAACAUAGUAAAUUAGGAGGAUCUUCGAUCACCUGAUGCCGCGCUAGUUACAUAUAAAAGCAUUAUUUAAUACAAUGACAAAGCCUAGAAUCAAUUGUAAACGACUUUUGUAACAGGCAAGGUGUUGUAAGUGGUUGAGCAGCUGCCAUACUGCGAUCCACUGAAGCUUAUCCUUUGCUUGAUGAUUCGA
RNAcentral lists this non-coding RNA (630 nucleotides) under Drosophila simulans. RNAcentral's name for it is "Eukaryotic large subunit ribosomal RNA". It matches the Rfam family "Eukaryotic large subunit ribosomal RNA", at positions 2842 to 3401 of the family's 3401-position model. The record is from Rfam by way of RNAcentral. Lineage: Eukaryota; Metazoa; Arthropoda; Insecta; Diptera; Drosophilidae.